This 72-nucleotide transfer RNA is filed under the name Marmota monax (woodchuck). RNAcentral's name for it is "tRNA.Ala". The record is from RNAcentral. Lineage: Eukaryota; Metazoa; Chordata; Mammalia; Rodentia; Sciuridae.
GUGUCGUGGCUCAGUGGUAGAGUGCUUGCCUAGCAUGCACAAAGCACUGGGUCCGAUCCUCAGUUCGAGAUA